This is a long non-coding RNA of Xiphophorus hellerii (green swordtail), 123 nucleotides long. RefSeq lists it as uncharacterized. The transcript is spliced from 3 exons. The record is from RefSeq and is a predicted model, not a curated record. Lineage: Eukaryota; Metazoa; Chordata; Actinopteri; Cyprinodontiformes; Poeciliidae.
UAAAAUGCUGACUAUAUAAAAAAUAAAUUCCCCACAUCGUUUUUGCGCCCCCUCUAGUGCAGCGCCCCUAUGCGUUGCAUACACUGCAUAGCCACCUUUUGCGCCACUGACUGUGGAGUCGAC